This is a long non-coding RNA of Lagopus muta (rock ptarmigan), 2708 nucleotides long. RefSeq lists it as uncharacterized. The record is from RefSeq and is a predicted model, not a curated record. Lineage: Eukaryota; Metazoa; Chordata; Aves; Galliformes; Phasianidae. The transcript is spliced from 3 exons.
CAACUCCCUUUUUCCUUACUGAAGAGAAGGAGAAAUUUCAGAAACUCUGAUCUUUGAAGUGGUGGGUGCUUUUCUGAAGAAGCUAAGAAACAAUCUCUAAAUUACGGUCGAAAACCCAAGUAAGGACGUAUAGGCAGAUCAUGAAGUAUCUUAAUGCAAGACUGGAUUGAGCCUUUAAUGCCUCCUGCCAGAGGAGAUGGAGAAUGAUCCAGCUGGAAACCAGUUUGCAGCUUAGUCUGGAUAGAGAAGGAAGGAAAAAAAAAUCAAUACAAAAUUAUCAGACAACAACUUUUGCCCUGCUUCCAAAACUGUUGAGACAGAGAACUAUACAUAAAAUUUAUACACUGUCUUUUUUUUGUGCAGUUGAACAUCACCUACAGGGCGGCUUCAGAAGCCACAGCUUAUUGCAGGAACAGCAACAGCAAAAAAGAUUGAAAGUAAUUUUAUUACUUUAUAUUAUUCUGCAAUACAAUUUAACAAAAUAAACCUGUUAGGGAAGAAGCUUAUUGUGCAUAUUGCAUAACAAAAUGAAGCCAGAGUUUCUAUUGAAUCUGCAAAUAAUUUACCUGGAAUUUCUGUUCCUUUGCAAAGUAAUUCUUUUCAUUUUGGAAAAAAAAAAAAGUAUGUGAUCCAUUACAAGAAGUACAGUAAAGCAAAGAUAUUUUUUCUGUACAAGCAGAGAUUACUAUUUUAUACCUUCAAGCUUCUACCACUCGUAGAGGCAAGCUGUGAGGAGCUACAGAUCACUUGUGUAACGAAAUCUGAGCUCAGCAGGAAGAAUGUGUCAUUCAGAAAAGCAAACUCUUACUUUGUCCUCAAGAACGGUAGGACUGCAUCACAACAGCAUUUACAACUGCAAAAUUUGGAAGACGUUAUUUAAUUCACUAGGGACUGUAGGUGGAGCAGCAAGACUGCACCACUUGCAUGUUUACCAGGUGACUAUAACUCAGAACACAUUGGUUAUAAUUUGAACAGUAAGUUCACUCUCUGAUGUGUCCAAAGACUUAAAAACAAGCACUUGCUCAGUUACUGAGAGCAUUUCCAUUGGCAUUAGGACCAUGAAUCAUGUAGUAGCCUGCAUCCUUAAUUGUUUCAGCUAAUAAGGAACCACAGGCCUAGAUUUUUAUUUAUAUUUUUACUACUGUCAUUUAUGCAUAAGAUCUUGCAGUAGGCCUUUUUUUUUGUUUUUCUAGGCAGUCAGUGAGAUCCUACCACUCUGUCCAAGACCAGGAUAUGUCUUUUCACAAUGACAUCUCCUCUAAAAUAUCCUGUCCCUUUGAAACAAAAGUGUUUGGAACAAAAACAGAAGAUAAAGUGGCCAACUUUAUGUGAAUACAUUUGUGAAUCUCUACUUCCUAAAGGGGUAAAAGAGCAACAAAUCAGAGUUUCUCUGGCACCGUAACACCAAGGUCAGUGAUGCAGCUGAUGCAGUGGAAGGAAAGGAUGCUAUUUAGAGGGACCUCAGCAGACUCGAAAGGUGAGCCUGUGUGAAUCUAAUGAGGUUCAGUACAGGAAAGUGCAAGGUUUUGUACUUGGGCUGGAGGAAUCCCAGGCAUACUUAUAGACCGGAAGGAGCAGUCCUUGAGAGUAGCCUUGCAGAGGAGGACCUGGGGGUCCUGAUGGAUGAAAAACUUAACAUGAGCCAGCAGUGUGCUCUUGCAGCUGGGAAAGCAAAUGGUAUCCUGGGAUCCAUCAGAAGAGGGGUAGCCAGCAGGGACAGGGAGACAGUUAGCCUUCUCUACUCUGCCCUUGUGAGGCCCCAUCUGGAGUACUGUGUCCAGGUCUGGAGCCCCCAAUAUUGGAGCUGUUGGAGAGGGUCCAGAGGAGGGCCACAGAGAUGAUCAGCAAGCUGAAGCACCUCCAGUAUGAAGAGGCUGAGGGAGUUGAGCUUGUUCAGCCUGAAGAAAAGAAGGCUGCGGGGUGACCUUAUUGCAGCCUUUCAAUACCCCAAGGGAGCCUAUAAACAAGAGAGGAAUCAACUCUUUGAAAGGGUAGAGAACAGCAGGACAAGGGGAAAUGAUUUUAAGUUGAGGGAAGGAAGAUCUAGCUUGGAUGUCGGGGAUAUUCUUACAGAGAGUGGUGAGGUGCUGGAAAAGGCUGCCCAGAGAGGCUGUGAUUGCCCCGUCUCUGGAGGUGUUUAAGUCCAGGUUGGACGGGGCUCUGAGCAGCCUGGUCUAAUAUCAAAUGUGGAGGUUUCAGCUGGUGAAAUGAAGCUAUGUGGAGAACCAAGGUAUUUUAUGUGUUGACUUACUUGUUAAACAUAACACUAAGACUUUACUGAAUGCUCAGAAAUAGAACACUUUGUCAAGAAGCUAAAACCAUUCCACAUUUGUGCAAAAUAUCAGAAAGUUCACAAUGGUAUUCUAAAUUAACCUGUUACCUUCUCCAAUUAAGGCAAAAAUCAACUACAGAUAUAUAAGUAUGUUACAAUGUUCAGGUUAAGUAAGUACAAGAUUUUAAACAUUUGGAACUGGAUAAUCAUUAGUGGGAGUGAAAGGGAACUUGCUGCCCUAAUAAGGUGAACACUAAAUUCAGAUCAGGUUCUUUAGGGUUUCAUUCAACUGGACGUUGGUUUCUUUCCUUAUUUUUAUAAAACUGAAAAGCAAUUUUAAUUAUGAAGACUUUAUUACUUUAAAUUGCAGUGUCCUCUGGUGUCAUCAAAUUUAACUAGCAAACUAAAACUUCAGAACAUCACAAAUGAAACUGAA